RNAcentral lists this unclassified non-coding RNA (345 nucleotides) under soil metagenome. RNAcentral's name for it is "partial contains 5.8S ribosomal RNA, internal transcribed spacer 2, and large subunit ribosomal RNA". The stretch from base 1 to 120 matches the Rfam family "5.8S ribosomal RNA", at positions 35 to 154 of the family's 154-position model. The record is from RNAcentral.
GAUGAAGAACGUAGCGAAAUGCGUUACGUAAUGUGAAUUGCAGAAUUCAGUGAAUCAUCGAGUCUUUGAACGCACAUUGCGCCCCCUGGUAUUCCGGGGGGCAUGCCUGUCCGAGCGUCAUUGCUGCCCUCAAGCACGGCUUGUGUGUUGGGCCUCCGUCCUCCUCCCGGGGGACGGGCCCGAAAGGCAGCGGCGGCACCGCGUCCGGUCCUCGAGCGUAUGGGGCUUCGUCACCCGCUCUUGUAGGCCCGGCCGGCGCUUGCCGACACAUCAAUCUUUUUUCCAGGUUGACCUCGGAUCAGGUAGGGAUACCCGCUGAACUUAAGCAUAUCAAUAAGCGGAGGA